Molecule: ribosomal RNA, 497 nt
Filed under: uncultured bacterium
Lineage: Bacteria
Description: partial 16S ribosomal RNA
Rfam family: Bacterial small subunit ribosomal RNA
Source: RNAcentral
GAUGAACGCUGGCGGCGUGCCUAAUACAUGCAAGUCGAGCGAACAGACGAGGAGCUUGCUCCUCUGACGUUAGCGGCGGACGGGUGAGUAACACGUGGAUAACCUACCUAUAUGACUGGGAUAACUUCGGGAAACCGGAGCUAAUACCGGAUAAUAUAUUGAACCGCAUGGUUCAAUAGUGAAAGACGGUUUUGCUGUCACUUAUAGAUGGAUCCGCGCCGCAUUAGCUAGUUGGUAAGGUAACGGCUUACCAAGGCAACGAUGCGUAGCCGACCUGAGAGGGUGAUCGGCCACACUGGAACUGAGACACGGUCCAGACUCCUACGGGAGGCAGCAGUAGGGAAUAUUCCGCAAUGGGCGAAAGCCUGACGGAGCAACGCCGCGUGAGUGAUGAAGGUCUUCGGAUCGUAAAACUCUGUUAUUAGGGAAGAACAAAUGUGUAAGUAACUAUGCACGUCUUGACGGUACCUAAUCAGAAAGCCACGGCUAACUACGUG